CCGAACCGACUAAUGUUGAAAAAUUAGCGGAUGACCUGUGGCUGGGGGUGAAAGGCCAAUCAAACCGGGAGAUAGCUGGUUCUCCCCGAAAGCUAUUUAGGUAGCGCCUCGUGAAUUCAUCUCCGGGGGUAGAGCACUGUUUCGGCUAGGGGGCCAUCCCGGCUUACCAACCCGAUGCAAACUGCGAAUACCGGAGAAUGUUAUCACGGGAGACACACGGCGGGUGCUAACGUCCGUCGUGAAGAGGGAAACAACCCAGACCGCCAGCUAAGGUCCCAAAGUCAUGGUUAAGUGGGAAACGAUGUGGGAAGGCCCAGACAGCCAGGAUGUUGGCUUAGAAGCAGCCAUCAUUUAAAGAAAGCGUAAUAGCUCACUGGUCGAGUCGGCCUGCGCGGAAGAUGUAACGGGGCUAAACCAUGCACCGAAGCUGCGGCAGCGACACUGUGU
This 447-nucleotide ribosomal RNA is filed under the name Salmonella enterica. RNAcentral's name for it is "partial 23S ribosomal RNA". It matches the Rfam family "Bacterial large subunit ribosomal RNA", at positions 774 to 1219 of the family's 2925-position model. RNAcentral also lists the same sequence under 1 other name. The record is from RNAcentral. Lineage: Bacteria; Pseudomonadati; Pseudomonadota; Gammaproteobacteria; Enterobacterales; Enterobacteriaceae.